RNAcentral lists this unclassified non-coding RNA (337 nucleotides) under soil metagenome. Its description in RNAcentral is "partial contains 5.8S ribosomal RNA, internal transcribed spacer 2, and large subunit ribosomal RNA". The stretch from base 1 to 120 matches the Rfam family "5.8S ribosomal RNA", at positions 35 to 154 of the family's 154-position model. The record is from RNAcentral.
GAUGAAGAACGUAGCGAAAUGCGAUAAGUAAUGUGAAUUGCAGAAUUCAGUGAAUCAUCGAAUCUUUGAACGCACAUUGCGCCCGCUAGUAUUCUGGCGGGCAUGCCUGUUCGAGCGUCAUUUCAACCAUCAAGCCCCUUAGCUUGUGUUGGGGACCUGCGGCUGCCGCAGGCCCUGAAAACCAGUGGCGGGCUCGCUGUCACACCGGGCGUAGUAGAUUUUAUCUCGCUCAGGGCGUGCUGCGGGUUCCGGCCGUUAAAAAGCCUUUUUUACCCAAGGUUGACCUCGGAUCAGGUAGGAAGACCCGCUGAACUUAAGCAUAUCAAUAAGCGGAGGA